Molecule: transfer RNA, 69 nt
Filed under: Ictidomys tridecemlineatus (thirteen-lined ground squirrel)
Lineage: Eukaryota; Metazoa; Chordata; Mammalia; Rodentia; Sciuridae
Description: Spermophilus tridecemlineatus (thirteen-lined ground squirrel) tRNA
Rfam family: tRNA
About the family: Transfer RNA (tRNA) molecules are approximately 80 nucleotides in length.
Source: Rfam by way of RNAcentral
GGUGUUGUGGCUCAGUGGUAGAGCACUUGCCUAGCAUGUGUGAGGCACUAGGUUCGAUCCCCGGCACCA